RNAcentral lists this long non-coding RNA (5534 nucleotides) under Homo sapiens (human). Its description in RNAcentral is "non-protein coding lnc-BMP6-106:137". Lineage: Eukaryota; Metazoa; Chordata; Mammalia; Primates; Hominidae. The record is from RNAcentral.
GCAGGAAGUGGCAGGGUCAGGAAAAGCUAGGCCACAAGUUUUCCCUUGAGAGCCUUAGAGACUGCAUCUCACCAUGUUGCUCAGGCUGUUCUCGAACUCCUGGGCUCAAGCAAUCCUCCUACCUCAGCCUCUCAAAGUGUUGGGAUUAUAGAUGUGAGCCACUGUACCCGGCCCUGGUUGCAUUCUUCAUUAUUAGGAACAUAAGAGUCUAGCCCUGUCGCCCAGGCUGGAGUGCCAUGGUUUGAACUCUACUCACCGCAACCUCCACCUCCCAGGUUCAAAUGAUUCUCCUGCCUCAGCCUCCUGAAUAUCUGGGAUUACAGGUGCCUGCCACUACACUCAGCUAAUUUUUGUAUUUUUAGUAGAGACAGGGUUUCACCAUGGUGGCCAGGCUGGUCUUGAACUCCUGACCUUGUGAUCUGCCCAUCUCGUGCUGGUAUUACAGGCGUGAGCCACUGCGCCCAGCCUAAAAUAAUUUUCAGUGAGUUAUAAGAAAACAGCUGCAUUCUGUUCUGUUUUUAGGCCUGGCCAGAGAAUACCAGGAGACUGUAAGAUGUCAUGGUACAUCAAGUCAGUCUCAAGUGUCCUAUAACCCUGGCUUGCCAUCAGCUUAGAAUGUUCUCUUUUUCUACUGACCUGCCUUCCAUCUGUGGUCUCUUCCUUCCGUCUGCUAUUUAUCAUGUACUUAUUGAUGUGUGUCCCAGAAUGUUCAGAAUCAUCUGAUUUAAAAGAUUCUGUCCCAUUUUCAGUAAAAGUAGCCCAAUAUUUUGUUGAGAAAACACAGUGACUGUGCAUAUACCUACCUACUCAUUAAGGUAUCACUUGUUGGUCACCUAGAGUAUAAAUUCAUGGCGUGGAUAUGACCUUGGUAUGAGCCUGUUCUAUACUGAUUUUGUCCCUCAUUGGGGAAAGACACUAGGAGGAUGUGUGUAUAGUGAAUAGAGGUACAGAUUGGGCACAGGCAGACUCUUUCUUGAAUCUAUUUCAUCAAUUAGUGGAUUUUUUUUCUCCUAGCCAAGUUAUUUAGCCUCUUCCUAUAUGAAAUACUCCUUCUUUUCAUCUGUUUUUGUUUUUAAAUGAGAUGACAAUUCAUGACUAGUCUUGGUCCCCUUAACACUUAGUGAGUGCUCAACAAAUGGUAGGAAUUAUUAUGGAUAACAAUAAUUAGUGUAAGUUCAAUAUGUAAAUAAAACUGCCUUUUGUUCACUAUCACAUCGCUUGUCUCAUCGGGUCUCAUCAUGAAAUAUUGGUCAUCAUUACUAUGAGAUCCAUCUAUGGUUAAUAUUACUAGUGUGACCCUAAAAUAGGAUUCAUCAACUAGGUAUGAUCAUCCGUCUAUUCUUUCCUUAAAUACAUUGAGCAAAAUCUUCAGGGGCAGCUGUAUUUUUUAACUGCACAUGCUACAGGGAUUCUGAAGUGAAACAUGGUGAAGAACCACCCAAUCAGACAUUUGAAUGGGGACUGACAGUCUUAAGUCUAAAGAAAUUUCCUCUUCCUUCAUAGUAAUUAGCAAGAAACUUCUACAAAAGUUACAAUGCCAAUUACUGGAAACGCGCAUAUCAGGAGUUCCAUGGAGGACCAUUUCCAAGCAGUAGACAUCAUGCAUCAAUCUGCUUUUUGAAAUCCAGACUGAUUUUCCAAAUCAUUUUUAAAUAAGAGGCCUCAAGCCGUAUGUAAGAAACAAGAAAAUUUGUGCCUUAAGAGCAACUAUCAACUUAAAUCAAAGAGGGGUAAGAGGUAAGCUCAGGGGAUAGAGAAGAUUAACCUAACAACAAAUAGCCUUUGCUUACUUCUGAGAUACCUAGCAAAUGCUGCCUUUUUGAAUUUUGUGCAAUUAGUUUAGUACUUCAAUUACCUAGAUAUUUUUAAGUUAAACAAGCUCUUGAGUGAUUUUUUCAUCAAUUUACAUUGAGUUAUAACAAAUGUAGGAAUAUUUGUAUUUAAAAUGCACAAGAAAAUGCAAAACAUAUCUCUAAUUUGACCACUAAAAGGCCAGUUUCUGAUGAUAACUUUUUGCCAUAUCUUAUUAACUGUAAUGUAUCUUUAAGGAUGACACAUGGAAUAGUUCCAAUGUAUAACAGAAAGGAAAUCUGAUAUUAUACUUAAGUGCAUUCUGUACUCUGUGGGGAAAGAUGCAGAAUAUAUUACAAAGAACAAUGAAGACAUGUUUCAAAAGUAAGCAUUAAUUUAUUCAUUCAUUCAUUUAUUCCCUCACACUCUUAUUCAACAAACAUUUAUUGAAAAUCCUCCCAUGCGCAAGGUGGGUGUUCUAUCUAAAUUCUAUGAAGAACAAGACAGACAAGGUCCGUCUUCUCACAGAGCUUACAUUUUAGUGAGGUAAAGUUGUCAAUAAGUAUGCAAAUUAAAAAAAUGACAGGCUCAACUAAUGCCUCCAAAAGCAACUAUUUUUAAAGCAAAAUCUGAUUGUGUUCAAGUCUAGCAAAGAGUCACAAAAAUAUAUUUUUAGAAAUGAAGAUUGUUGACAUGGUAAGGUUAUUCAUUCUUUCUAUUUUUAUAAAUAAAUCAAUUAACCCUAUUUUAUUUUAAAAAGUCAUGCAAGGUCAAAAACGUUGGGAUGAUUGGUAUUAAACUCUGGUGGAAGAAGCUCCCUGAAUGCCUCCCUGACAUCAGUCAUACAGGUCAGGAAGCAAACACCUUUCCUCUUGUUUCCUAACUGCCCUUUUUACCCAUUUCAUAGCACACACUUACUCCGGUCACCAAACUGGUUACCAUCCUCCUGUGUUCUGUUUUUGUAAGAGGGCAUUUAUUUGGCCCUAGUUACCCAAGAAAAGGCAAUUAGUCUUGACAACUGCUGCAAAGAGAAAAGACGAGAUGAUGGAAACAUUCAACACUUAAAAAUCCUUAGAUUUCAAGCAUUGGGGUUUCUGCCCCUAUAGAUUUCUGGGAGUUUGGGACAAUUAAAAUAUAUCUUUUAUUUUUUUAAAAAAAUAUAUAUAAAUGAAUGCUAAAACAACUCUUAAAAGGAAAUUGCUUUAUAUAGUCUGGCUAUGAUCAGCAAAACUGGUAUUCAUAUUUACAUUUGUUUAUUAUAUCAGUGAGGUUUGAGAAUCAUUUAAAAGAAUUGUGUUCUAAUUCAACCUAAAUUCCCUUCCUGUUAAUCUGAGCCAAAUGUCCCAAACACAGACAUGGCAGUUUUUAAAUCUCUGAAAACUAUUUAAAAACUAAUAUUAAAAAUAUAGUUUUAAAAUAUAUUGCAUAUACCUGUAUACUUAGGUAUGAAGAAAUUUCCUCUUCCUUCAUGGUAAUUAGCAAGAAACUUCUAUAAAAGUUACAAUGCCAAUUAUUAGAAACAUGCAUAUCAGGUGUCCCACGUAGGACUAUUUCCAAGCAGUAGAGAUUAUGCAUCAAUCUGCUUUUUGAAAUCCAGACUGAUUUUCCAAAACACUUUUAAAUAAGAGGCCUCAAGCCAUAUAUAAGAAACAAGAAAAGUUGUGUAUAUUUGUAUACAGGUAUAUACGAGUGCCCGUAUAUGCAAGCUGAGGUGGAGAAAUUGAAGACACAGAUUAUGUAAGCCAUUAACUCUUUAGGGGAGCAAGCUCUGAUGUUCCCACUUGAAGACGGGAGAGGGGAGUCCUCUCAUGCUUGCGUCUCACUGUAACUUUUAUGCUUUUGUCUGUGGGUGUGUUUGUUCAGUGCUUAGACUGAACAACAGUGACCUCUUUGAAACAAGAGGAUAUACAGUUCACGUGCCACAUAAUGACUUUCAGUCAAUGACAGACUGCAUAUAUAAAAAGCACAUUCUAAUAGGACCUUUGAUAAUCGUUUUGUCUUCUUGACUAUCAUCUUCUCUAGGAGAAAGUCUUCCCUGAUACUCUGCCCCCUGCCUCCACACAUACACAUACACAAACACUCAGAUAUAUCUCUACCACACAUACUCCUGGCUAGGCUAAGUGCACCCUUUUCUUUUUCUUUUUCUUUUUCUUUUUCUUUUUCUGAGACAAGGCCUUGCUCUGUUGCCUAGUCUGGAGUGAAGUGGCCUGAUCAUAGCUUACUGCAGCCUCCAACUUCUGGGCUCAGGCGAUCCUCCCACCUCAAUUUCCCAAGUAAUUGGGACUACAGGCAUGCACAAACAUGGCUGGCUAAUUAUUUUUAUUAUUAUUAUAAGUAGAGAUGGGGUCUCACUAUGGUGCCCAGGUCGAUCUCAAAGUCCUGGGCUCAAGCAACCCUCAUGCCUUGGCCUCUCAAAGUGCUAGGAUUACAGGCAUGAGCUAUCAUGUCCAGCCUAGCUACCCCUUUUCUAUACUUUCCUAGCAUCAUGUGUGGGUCUUUCUCAUACUAUCUACAGCACACUGUGAUUGUGUAUUUACCCAUAUUUCUCCCAAAUGACUAUAAACACCUCAAGGGAAAGGAUUAUAGCUUAUUCAUAUUUGAAUCCUUAGUAUUUAUGACAAUGCUUGGCUCAUAAUAAGCUCUCAAGAGAUAUUCAUUCCAUUGAAUUGAAAUGACUUCCACUUGGGUUUCACAGUAGAAUACUCAUUACUCAUCAGACUUACUCAGGGGACAAGUCUCUGGCCUCAUUUUCAUUUGCAUCUUGGCCAUGAUUUUGCCUACUGUCAAUCACCAUGAAGUACAGAAAAGCAAACUGAGCUAUGGUGAGCCAAAUUAACUGGACCUAAGAUGACCUCAUCAGCAAAGCGCCCUAAGCAAUCAAGCAAUCGGGUCAGCUAGUUGCAGCCUAUAGUUAUCGUGGAAAACUGGUUGCUACUUUGAUCUCAGCUCACCUUGCCAAAUACUCCUUUUGUUUGAAAGAUAGUCAUAACAAGUACAAAACAACACUGAGUGAAUAUUUUUAAUAUUAUAAGCACCUAGAUAAAUUUAAUUUCUAUUUCCAUUAAUGAUCUGAAUAACCUAAAUUCUUCUAAUACCUAUAUUUGUCCAAUUUUAAGGUAUUCUGACUUAGGCAGAAAUUGGGCAAUUAUCUGAUUAAUUCAGGCCAAUAUUUUUAACACUGGAUUUCUGCAUCACAAGAAUUGUUAAUUUAUUCUUAUAUCCUCAUUCCUGGUACACAAUGGGUGCUCAGAAGUAGCUAGGAUUUACUGAGAGCUUACUAUAUGCUAAACUGUACAACAAUGUGUUAUCUUACAUUAAGUCUCACAAAAAUUAAAACUCUCAAAAAACUUCGCACUAAUUGUUUGAGAUAGAUGAGAUUACAAUCUGAGUCUUAAGAAGGUUAAGUAACCCACCCAAGGUCGAAUUAAGAACUUGAGCUAUCUUUUUAAUCACUACUCUAUAUAGACAUUUGUUGAAUAAAUGGUCAGAUGCAUUUUGAUCAAGCCUAUGCUUAUUUGAAAUAUCACAUGCUUUUUUGAACUUUAUAGAUAUAUAUUAACCAUUUGGAAAAAUGUAAGAACAAAAUCUCAUGGAAAAUGUAAAUUUCAAUCUUGCAAACUAAACAUUCGAUUUAUACACUUUCAGGAUUUACUCUGUUGUGUGAAUAUGCGUACUUUAGAAUAAAACUGGUAUCAUACUAUACAAUGAAUAUCAAGUUUUAAUUCAAUAAUGUUUAAUGAAUA